UUCCAGACUCCUACGGGAGGCAGCAGUGGGGAAUAUUGGACAAUGGGGGGAACCCUGAUCCAGCGACGCCGCGUGAGUGAAGAAGUAUUUCGGUAUGUAAAGCUCUCUCAGCAGGGAAGAAAGAAAUGACGGUACCUGACUAAGAAGCCCCGGCUAACUACGUGCCAGCAGCCGCGGUAAUACGUAGGGAGCAAGCGUUAUCCGGAUUUACUGGGUGUAAAGGGCGCGUAGGCGGGAUGGCAAGUCAGAUGUGAAAUCCAAGGGCUCAACCCUUGAACUGCAUUUGAAACUGUCGUUCUUGAGUACUGGAGAGGUUGACGGAAUUCCUAGUGUAGCGGUGAAAUGCGUAGAUAUUAGGAGGAACACCAGUGGCGAAGGCGGUCAACUGGACAGCAACUGACGCUGAGGCGCGAAAGCGUGGGGAGCAAACAGGAUUAGAUACCCGCGUAU
This 450-nucleotide ribosomal RNA is filed under the name uncultured bacterium. RNAcentral's name for it is "partial 16S ribosomal RNA". It matches the Rfam family "Bacterial small subunit ribosomal RNA", at positions 329 to 793 of the family's 1533-position model. The record is from RNAcentral.